CUUAGCUCAGUUGGUUAGAGCAUCUGACUGUUAAUCAGAGGGUCGUAGGUUCAAGUCCUACAGCAGGA
RNAcentral lists this transfer RNA (68 nucleotides) under Chitinophagaceae bacterium. RNAcentral describes it as "tRNA-Asn". It matches the Rfam family "tRNA", at positions 6 to 65 of the family's 71-position model. Rfam says of the family: Transfer RNA (tRNA) molecules are approximately 80 nucleotides in length. Lineage: Bacteria; Pseudomonadati; Bacteroidota; Chitinophagia; Chitinophagales; Chitinophagaceae. The record is from RNAcentral.